GAUGAACGCUGGCGGCGUGCCUAAUACAUGCAAGUCGAGCGAACGGACGAGAAGCUUGCUUCUCUGAUGUUAGCGGCGGACGGGUGAGUAACACGUGGAUAACCUACCUAUAAGACUGGGAUAACUUCGGGAAACCGGAGCUAAUACCGGAUAAUAUUUUGAACCGCAUGGUUCAAAAGUGAAAGACGGUCUUGCUGUCACUUAUAGAUGGAUCCGCGCUGCAUUAGCUAGUUGGUAAGGUAACGGCUUACCAAGGCAACGAUGCAUAGCCGACCUGAGAGGGUGAUCGGCCACACUGGAACUGAGACACGGUCCAGACUCCUACGGGAGGCAGCAGUAGGGAAUCUUCCGCAAUGGGCGAAAGCCUGGCGGAGCAACGCCGCGUGAGUGAUGAAGGUCUUCGGAUCGUAAAACUCUGUUAUUAGGGAAGAACAUAUGUGUAAGUAACUGUGCACAUCUUGACGGUACCUAAUCAGAAAGCCACGGCUAACUACGUGCCAGCAGCCGCGGUAAUACGUAGGUGGCAAGCGUUAUCCGGAAUUAUUGGGCGUAAAGCGCGCGUAGGCGGUUUUUUAAGUCUGAUGUGAAAGCCCACGGCUCAACCGUGGAGGGUCAUUGGAAACUGGAAAACUUGAGUGCAGAAGAGGAAAGUGGAAUUCCAUGUGUAGCGGUGAAAUGCGCAGAGAUAUGGAGGAACACCAGUGGCGAAGGCGACUUUCUGGUCUGUAACUGACGCUGAUGUGCGAAAGCGUGGGGAUCAAACAGGAUUAGAUACCCUGGUAGUCCACGCCGUAAACGAUGAGUGCUAAGUGUUAGGGGGUUUCCGCCCCUUAGUGCUGCAGCUAACGCAUUAAGCACUCCGCCUGGGGAGUACGACCGCAAGGUUGAAACUCAAAGGAAUUGACGGGGACCCGCACAAGCGGUGGAGCAUGUGGUUUAAUUCGAAGCAACGCGAAGAACCUUACCAAAUCUUGACAUCCUUUGACAACUCUAGAGAUAGAGCCUUCCUCUUCGGGGGACAAAGUGACAGGUGGUGCAUGGUUGUCGUCAGCUCGUGUCGUGAGAUGUUGGGUUAAGUCCCGCAACGAGCGCAACCCUUAAGCUUAGUUGCCAUCAUUAAGUUGGGCACUCUAAGUUGACUGCCGGUGACAAACCGGAGGAAGGUGGGGAUGACGUCAAAUCAUCAUGCCCCUUAUGAUUUGGGCUACACACGUGCUACAAUGGACAAUACAAAGGGCAGCGAAACCGCGAGGUCAAGCAAAUCCCAUAAAGUUGUUCUCAGUUCGGAUUGUAGUCUGCAACUCGACUACAUGAAGCUGGAAUCGCUAGUAAUCGUAGAUCAGCAUGCUACGGUGAAUACGUUCCCGGGUCU
RNAcentral lists this ribosomal RNA (1372 nucleotides) under uncultured bacterium. RNAcentral describes it as "bacterial SSU rRNA". It matches the Rfam family "Bacterial small subunit ribosomal RNA", at positions 28 to 1381 of the family's 1533-position model. The record is from RNAcentral.